Molecule: ribosomal RNA, 429 nt
Filed under: uncultured bacterium
Lineage: Bacteria
Also listed under: 3 other names
Description: bacterial SSU rRNA
Rfam family: Bacterial small subunit ribosomal RNA
Source: RNAcentral
UGGGGAAUAUUGCACAAUGGGGGAAACCCUGAUGCAGCCAUGCCGCGUGUGUGAAGAAGGCCUUCGGGUUGUAAAGCACUUUCAGCGAGGAGGAAAGGUCAGUAGCUAAUAUCUGCUGGCUGUGACGUUACUCGCAGAAGAAGCACCGGCUAACUCCGUGCCAGCAGCCGCGGUAAUACGGAGGGUGCAAGCGUUAAUCGGAAUUACUGGGCGUAAAGCGCACGCAGGCGGUUGGAUAAGUUAGAUGUGAAAGCCCCGGGCUCAACCUGGGAAUUGCAUUUAAAACUGUCCAGCUAGAGUCUUGUAGAGGGGGGUAGAAUUCCAGGUGUAGCGGUGAAAUGCGUAGAGAUCUGGAGGAAUACCGGUGGCGAAGGCGGCCCCCUGGACAAAGACUGACGCUCAGGUGCGAAAGCGUGGGGAGCAAACAGG